This 746-nucleotide ribosomal RNA is filed under the name uncultured bacterium. RNAcentral's name for it is "bacterial SSU rRNA". It matches the Rfam family "Bacterial small subunit ribosomal RNA", at positions 8 to 796 of the family's 1533-position model. The record is from RNAcentral.
AGAGUUUGAUCCUGGCUCAGAAUGAACGCUGGCGGCGCUAACACAUGCAAGUCGAACGGGAAAGUGGAGCAUCCAUGAGUACAGUGGCGACGGGUGAGUAACACGUGGGUAAUCUACCUCUUAGUGGGGAAUAACCCUGGGAAACCGGGGCUAAUACCGCAUAAGCCUGAGAAGGGAAAGCAGCAAUGCGCUGAGAGAGGAGCCCGCGGCCGAUUAGCUAGUUGGUAGGGUAAAGGCCUACCAAGGCAGAGAUCGGUAGCCGGCCUGAGAGGGCACACGGCCACACUGGCACUGAAACACGGGCCAGACUCCUACGGGAGGCAGCAGUGGGGAAUCUUGCACAAUGGGGGCAACCCUGAUGCAGCGACGCCGCGGAGCGAUGAAGCCCUUCGGGGUGUAAAGCUCUUUCGUCAGGAAGAUCAUGACGGUACCUGGAGAAGCAGCUGCGGCUAACUACGUGCCAGCAGCCGCGGUAAUACGUAGGCAGCGAGCGUUGUUCGGAGUUACUGGGCGUAAAGGGUGGUAGGCGGUUCUAAGUUUGGUGUGAAAUCUCCCGGCUCAACCGGGAGGGUGCGCCGAAUACUGAGGGACUAGAGUGCGGGAGAGGAAAGUGGAAUUCCUGGUGUAGCGGUGAAAUGCGUAGAUAUCAGGAGGAACACCGGUGGUGUAGACGGCUUUCUGGACCGUAACUGACGCUGAGACACGAAAGCGUGGGUAGCAAACAGGAUUAGAUACCCUAGUAGUCC